UAGUAAGUGCGUGGAUAUUGCGUAUUAUAGUUUUUAUUUUAUAAAAAAUACUCUAUUUUCUUUUAUUAGGGCAUAACUUUGUACAUUGACUAAGUGUGUUGAAAAAAAAGUUGUAUUUACUGGGAAUUGUAUUACAAAAAUAUUAAUUAGAUUCACUAAUUCACAUGAUUUUUUCGAGAAUUGAACCAAGACCAACUUUUAUUGAGCUCAAUUUUAAUUAGUGUACAUUUGUGGAACUUGAAAAGAAACAGGUAUAUGGCUGAGAAGAAAGAAGUUGAAAAGAAACAGGUAUAUGGCUGAGAAGAAAGAAAAACUAGUGCAGUGAAAAAGAACAGGCUAAGUUAGUACUGUCUACUCCGAUAUCAAUAUUGUCGAUCACUUGUUCUUGUGUCAAUUAACAAUUAUUCAAGAAGAUGAGAAUGUUGACGGCAAAAAUUGAGAAAGUAUUGACUCAAUUAGCAAUUUAAGCUGUUCUCGUGAAGAACAAAAGUCGAAAAGGAGAUGUUUAGGGCGCGAAGUUCAGGGAACUACGAAGGGCUCGCGGAAUGGAAGAACAGAGGUGAGGAGGGUGGAACUCAGUGAAAGAGGUGGACGUGGCGAGGGUGAAGGCGCUAUCGGCCGUGAAUAAUGCGCGGUGGCGUCCGCACAUCGUUGUGUCUCCCGUGCGUGCACGUUCGUGCUUUCGAUUCGGCCUCGGCUGGAUGGAUUGAUAAAGAUUAAAGGUAAAGGGAGGUGGCAGGGUCCAGGGGUGUUUUGGAGUUAGGCGACAGAAGUCAGCCAGCGAGACGAAGCGGCCAGGCGAGCGUGUGUGGGGGAUGAUGUCACAUAGGGGUUUCCCCCUUGCUGCUCUCCUGCUUCUCCUCCUCUUCCUCCUGCCUCCGCCAGUCUAGCGUAAAUACAUACAGAUGCAGGCCGGAUUGAUGCAUUGACCGAGCGCAGUGACGUAGAAUCGAUUUUUCGUACGAGGAAGGAUGACGUUUCGGAAAGCAGCACACCCAUCGAGAGGACGUUCUACGCCAAUGUACGCGAAGCUCGACUCGGUAUGACUCAUGCGAUCUCUCUCGCAGCCUCCCCUGCACGGUCCCGUAUCGUAGUCAUGCACAAUGGAGAAUAGCAAACGCAGUAAAGGGAUGCUCGUAUCCAGACGCAGAUGCUAUCUGAAAACCGUUUUACAAAACUACAGCGGUUGUAAUAUCGGAGGGUGACUGGGAUAUGUACGUUAGCGGUACCGUGGCAGUUUACUUCUUACAAGAUCGGUAGAAAUAAAUUUAUGAUGUUAUUUGCACUUUGAAAGAGAAAAGAUCUAUAUCUAACUUAUCUCUUUGGCUUCCAAUUCUAUGAAUAUUAGCCCCGUAUUAAUAGAUGAUGUUUAAAAUUUGUCUAGAGUGAGAUACUGAGAUUUUAAUUUAGAGUUAAACGUGAGUUUUUCAGUCGAAUCAUGCUUACAAAAGUAUUAUCACACAUAUAUAUUAUAUGAUUCAAAUAAAAAACUCUAAAUUCAAACCUGAGUAUCUCCCAUGGAACAAGUUUCAAGUAGCAACUAUUAAUGUGGGCUUUAGACCCGUAUUGAUAGUUCUCAUCUGAAACUUAUCUCGUGUAAGAUGCUCAGAUUUUUAUUUAACGUUAGAUUCAAAUUUUUCAGUUGAAGUAUGAUAUAUAUGACAUUUAUAUUUUCAAUUGCGAUUCAAGUGAAAAAUUCAGACCUGAGUAUAUCUCAAUUGAAAAGAAUUUUAAGUAAUAACUUUUAAUACAGGACUUAGAAUUCAUAAAUUAUCUCUGGAAUCAAAACAUUUUCCAAGAACUCAAUCGUACAUUUCAUUCAUCAAUGAAAGUAUUAAUUGACAUAAGGGGAAGCAUCUUCUAUAUUAUUGUCAAUAUAGUUGUUAUCAAUAUUAAUUUACAGUUAAUAUUAAUCAAUAUAGUGUAUAACUCAUUUAUAAAAACGCGUGUUAACAGUAUAACGAUAAAAAGAAAAAAAUAAGAAAUUGUGUAAGAUAGAUAAUGCGAGAUCUCAAUCGUUGUGUCUGCGCUGUUACUGUGAGACUUUCGAAAACGCACGACGGGAGAACAGAAUCGUAAACGACCAAUUUAUACGGCGAGCGCCUCGGCGAGGAUCCUCAAUUAAACAAUUACACUUAAAUUGAGUGGAAUUCCCACCGCGGUGCCCGCAUGUUCGUUAACGAUCAUUCGUGCGCACCUACGAGCUGUUAAGGUAAUACACAGGCGCAGGGGAACUAAAUAACCUUUGAUCAGGUACACGUGGGCCCACAUACGUCGAAAUUUAUGAAUCAUGAGAUGAGCGAGCUACCGAAAUUGAGAUCGACGAUAAGUUCACGAUUAUGGUGGUUGAGCUUAUACGAAGUUGCUCCGACGAUUCCUACGAGAAUAUACGAUCAUACGAAGCACAUUGAGAUAAGCGUUUACUUUAAGUAAACGUAGAGGCACGUUCAAAUUUCUCUUUCCGUUCGAGAUACGGAACCAUGACGACGGAAUAAUACGGAAGAUAAAAAAAAAGAGAUAUUUCGAAGCCACAUUAAAUACAUCUAAGUCUAAUAAAUCUGACCAAUAGACCAAUAUUAAUUUACGCUUGGUAGACAAUUGCGCCUCUUUCUUGAAAAAAAAUUCCCGAAGUUUGUGAAGAGCGAUAGAAAUCCAUCGAUAACGCCCGGAUUAACUGUCGACGAUUCGCGGUUAUUACAACAUCUAUAUACAAACCUAAGAAUGUACAUUCUACUUCCGCUUCACAGCUCUGGCAUGCCGAUAGUCUUGUAACGAGACUCGCAUGACGUGCACGCGCGAAUGAAAGAACGUGGAAAGCGGAGAACGAAGAGAAAAUCGAGGAACGAAGACGAAAUACGUGCGGACAUGUACAGAACUCGGCACGUCGGUGUUUAAAUGUGAGAAAGUAGAAGGCAGGGGGAGAGAUGAGGGGGCAAAGAGAGAACGAAAUCGGCCGCCCAUUGUGCUCAGGUGUGAGGCGUGUGCGCAAGGAUAGGAUUCGCAAGGGUGACCAGGGGAUCAGAAAGGGGAGGUAGGUAGCGCGGUGAGACAGGGGUAGAUUUGCACACGCGGCACGAGCCGCUCCAACAAAGGGAUGGAACAGAUUGGAAGCCAUUCAUUCACUCGCUCGCCCUGUCUUUUUCCCCUGUAUUUGACCGGGAGAGCAUCGACCACCCUCCGCUCUCAGUCCACCCCCUCUUCCCUGCACGCGCGGGCGCGCGCGCGCGGACGUCCAAGUCGUCGAGUUUAACUCGGGAUCACCCUCCUGCGGUACAGGUACAGUCAAUCGCGUCACUAAUUCGGAGUUUCAUUAGGGAGUCUUUGUAAUCCGGCAAUGUAACGUACGUCGAAUGCAGUGAGCGAUAAAAUGUCUCACGUGUUGAGUGUAAAAUACCCGCAGUUUAUCGUACCGUCUCAACCCUAUCGUGCCGUCUCAAUCCUGUCGUGGCGUUUUUGAGAUAAACUAUUGCGAUUAUUGCGAUCUGUAACUGGAAAUUGACUGACAAACAACUUUGUAUACGACAUUGGCGCAAGAGAUGGCCUUUUUUUAUUUGUAACGAUCUGUAUUUGAUCUUUCCAGCACGAGUCUGAUCUCAACCCGUCCGCGAGAGAUUCGACCUCGAUCUUCGCGCGAGUCAAAAUGGUAAGGACGCGGUGAUGCACCUAGCCAACACACCGGUGCGAUUCCUCAGUUAUUACUCAGCCCUCCGCGGCUUGGGAUUCAAUAACGGCGAACGAGUGAGUACUAAAAGCCUUUUAACGUGACCGACUGUACGUGGGGUACCUUCUCAGUCAGGGUGAAGACCCCCACAGCCACCCUCGAUCCACGUUUCGUGCACCGUGCUAGUAGUUAUACGUGCGCAGAUUCGUAUGUACCCAUGUGCUCCAAAAAGAACGAGGGAGAAAGAGAGAAAGGGAAAAGACAAACGAUAAAGAAAGAGAGAAGUAGAGACGGCGAAAGGGAGGCUCGGAGGGGUAGGUUAUGUUCUUUCCGCCUGCGUGCCCCUCUAUUCAAGUUAUUGCAUUACUGGCUUAGCUUUGCUACCCCACAGCCGCUACGUGCGCGUACCCCGGCGCGGCUACCCCAUCAUCCACAUCCAAUAUCCAUCGGCACCGCGGCUGCAUUUCGCAGUGCACACCUUCCCAGAAUGCAUAACCGCUGAAUCCCUUUAAAUUCCACCUCUUACAACGCCGGCGUAUACCUGUGUGGAUUUCCGGGGCAAAGGCCGUUCACUGCAAGCGAGUGAGCGAACGGUUAUCCGCGAUAUUAAAUUCGCGAUAAUAGCAUAUCGCUAAAAACGAUAAACCGAGCCGUCGAGCCCGAGGAAUUCCUCGAGUUUACAACGUUCACGCUCAGAGACGCUUUUACGCUUUUGAUCACCGGGAGAGACGAACGCCGACUCUUUUUCCCCCGAGACACUGAUUUAGAUCGAAUCCUGAAAAAUCACGGACUUAAUUCACUCGCGCUUAAACGCUCCGUAUUUACAUACUUCUACGGCGUACUACGCGCCUCGGCGCUCGUGCUAUAAUAUGCACGCGUGUUCGCAUCUCGUUAUCUGGAACAUGUCAGAUGAGUCGCACAGCGAGAGUCGUACCCUCGUGCCACGAUAAAUCCUCGGUGUUGAUUGAAACCAGAAGAAAGGACACUGGCGUCGCAGACAUUGCAGUGUCCGCCGCCAUCGAGAGAGAGAGAAAGAGACUCCGUCGACGAAUCGAUUCGACGUAAUUACACCGAUCACGUUAAUAUGGUAAACGAAAAUUCGCCAAUACCGCGUAAUUAACGACGGUGACGUAAUUGAUUCGGUUAAAACGGUAUACCCGGUGGAUUUAGCCGUACGUAUCGACGAAGUUUUUAAUAUUUCGCAUUCCAACAUUCAGAUAUAGUCCGCUGAAACUUUGAUAGAGAGAUCAGAAUUAAUCGUCUACAUUUGCGCGCUUUCACAAUCGUUUAUGAAUGAAAAAAGAAAGUUUCGCGCUAGACAGACGUAUGUAUGUGUGUGUAUAUGCGCGUUCAAUCUUUUUCUUUAUCAUUGAAUCACUCGACACAAUCCCGGAGUUUGUAUAAAAACGCUGUCUACAACGCGCUUGUUAUUACGGCAAGCUCGUCGCAAUCAUUCCGCAAACAACGCGCGAGCACAAUCGUCGUGAGCGUCGCGUCGGCGGAAUCGAAAUUUAUCGCGAUACGCGUACCCGCGAUUCGUCACGUAUUAACGGAGGACCUAUCCCGCGAUGCCUGUCGCUCGCGAUAAAACACGCCCUACGUCCACGAUUCGUACGCGCCGAACGACAGAUUUAUGGCUAUCGGCUCGCGUACACGUGCGGCUCUUUUCAAUUAAUUCAAACCGGAUUACAUCCUGCGCCGGCGUUGCAUAAUUCCGCGGCAACACGUCAAACCAGUAAUUUCGUGAGACAAACGCCCCAACCCUGGCUUCUCACUCCCGCUCUCUCCGUCGGCUUCCCUCUUCGAACGAAUUGGAAAUUUCUCAUAAAAUGUAAAAAAUGGAACAAUUAUCGGAAACAGCCAGAGGAAAAGGAGGAUGUCGGUUUAUCUCGUCGUUCUCACCGUGUCUCUCUGUCAAAAGUUCCAAAUAUAGAUCGCAUCAUUCUAAUCAUUCUAAUCUUCUAAUAACGUACUUUUGACUAUCUCGACAUAAUAAUGACUCAAAGACCAUUAUUAUCGCCUGAUAAUCUUCACUCCGAACUAUCUCACAUGUGACACCAGCGGAACAACACAGAGAUCUUUCUACCCGAAUGACUCAAAGUUAAUCUUUGUUUUUCGCAGGGAAGGGUACCAGACACCAGUGUUUCUUUCACAGAGAGAACACCGUCGUGGGAACGACGGUCGCACAGCGUUCAGCGAAUAUAUCGAUGACUCACGUGCGCGAUCUCGUGCCGGCACGUUUUUGCAGAAUCGUUUUCCUAGGGGAGAGCAGGCGGGCGGGGAGUGAUGGGGGAGGUUUCACGAAUGCGUGGUACUUCGAUUCGUACGUACCUCGUCAAGUUAUCAAAAGUUCGCUAAAGGGAUCAGGAACGGUAACCAUACUGCCGCAGGCCCUUGCCAUAUGGCAUGUAUUGCUCUACCCGUCUGUACGCAGAAUCUAUAGGUAGACGUUCCCUGCAGAGGGUCAUUCCUUACGGCUAAACGUAUCCAUUCAAGCUCACCUUUCUCCGCACCCUGAUUAGCAGUGCUAUUGUUUAAAACAGUCUUGUGUACCGUGUCGAAUAUCAAGGACCUUCCUGCACAAAAUGUCGCGAUCAUAAAUAUAAGCGUGAUGCAGUUUUAAUAUGAAGAAUUAUGCAAAAUAUUCUAUUAGGUUUAUAUAUUCUAGAGGGAGAUAAAAGUGAGAGAGAUGGAAAGUUCGUAAAACGACCUCUCGUCAAAUUUGCAAUUUAUUUUACUAAUCUGUACUAUUAAACACAAAUGAUGAUAUACGAAGAGAGAAACUAAUUUAGUUCAGCAUGUAAUGCAAGAAAGAAGUUUAUGUGUAACACGAAGAAAGUACAUGAAGUACAUGAUUAUAUACAAUUUAUGUGUAACAUGAGAAGAGAGAAGCCUACAAGAGCCUUUACAUAUAUUUGACAAUUUAUAUAUGGUAAAUCAGUAUGUGGCUACAGUCAGACAUACCAGCCUCAAACAUUAUCCAGCGUAUAUAUAUUUCCGAGUCGCGCUGGACCAACAUUCGUCGAUAAGCAGCAUUUUCGAGGUACGUUGAGCAAGCGCAGAAGCAAUACUCGAAACGUUACCUUUGACAGCAAAAAAUCACGCGACUGUGAUAUCACGCGUCGUCGAGAGUUUAUCUCUCUUUCGGGGGAAACGUCAUCGCGCAAGGAUGGCGAAAAGGAAAAAAAGACCGCGCAAACGAGAACAUCGGGAACUCAUGUAUACAACGGCGUACCGCCCUCUCUGCCAUAAUUUCACACCAAGUUAAAAUCGCUCUCUCACAACGCGAUGAAAAUUGGUUUACAAAGUGACUUAUUCACUGUUGCUCCUGUUAACGACAGAAAGACAUAAACAUAUAAGUAAUAUUUCUCUAGCAUGUUUCAUUUUAAGCUACAAAUCAAAAGAGAGCGUUAAAAAUUAGGUAAUAUUUGCCUUUAAUUAUUAAGUUCUAUAAUAGUGUAUAAUCAAGUUCUAUAAUAUUGAGAAAGACUGAUUGUCAGAUUAAAAUAAAAAUCUAAUCGAUAAUCAAUUAUGAAGAAAAAAACUACAAAGAAAAUGUAUAUUUACGCUAAAAUAGCUGUAUUUUCAAAUUUGAACGAAUUUCAAGGUCAAAACUUAAAGUUAAGCUCAAUAAUUAUAUUCAAAGCUCAAUAAACGAAGGUAUAUCUAUCGGGUUAUCUUCAAUAAUUUUACUUAAACCUAUAUUCGUGUUUUUUCCAAAUAAUUUUGCUUUUAGUUGUAUAGAUAACUCUCUCAUGUGAUGAACUGUACAACAUAUAUAUAUAUAUAUCACACGGAAGCAAAUAUCAUACUAAGUCCAGUGAGUUGUGCCCACACACGAUCGAAGUUAACCAUUAGAUAUAAUAUACUCCUGUCUCUUUCUCUACUCUCCUAUCCUCUUCACCUUUCCCUCCCUGUCGGGGUCAAGCGGCAAAUAUUUGUUACGAUCGAGAAAACGCGUACGCGAGUUCAGAUUUCUGUUUGUCUUCCGAGUGUUGUCAUGGAGUGAGAUAUUGGCUUUGACUGCCGUUUAUUUUUAUAGUCAUAUAUUCCGCUGUAAUGAGUAAUGUGGCGCGUAAUCUAAACCUUUGGCUGAUAACGGAAUACGCAGGAAACCUGUGGACCGAUCUAUAUGUUCCUUAACACGUUCCACGUUAUUUGUACGAUAAAGCUACAGCAAUAAACAACGACGAUCUUUAGUAUUUAUCAUUGAUUUUCAUCGAGACGUUGAACCACCAGUUUUUGACAUUCUCAAAUUUUUCAUUAUUGAAUUACAAGUAUAGCCUUGUUUCAAAUACAGCAACAUGAAAAAUAAUAUUUAAUAUUUCCAACUUGAUUUAAAGAUCCACCACAUAUUCUACCUGAUCUCUUGAAACAAAUACUAUCUUAAGGAGACAAAAAGAGAGAAAAAACUAUAUACAGAACACUGUCGCAACAGCGCUCAGAAGAACGUCAGCGCGGCUAAGGACGAAUAAGGACGCAAUGUUGAUGAUACAAGAGAAGAAGAGAAAGAGAACUAGAAGAGGGAACGCAAGUGCGGCACACAUGUUGACGGUAUGCAGUUGUUAAGAGGUAACCGGAAGCGGGCAAGGCUAAGUCAUGAGAUACGUUGAAAUUCGAGCCGUAAAAAAAAUGUAGGAACGAUAAAGGUUCUCUCCGAGGAAUUGCGCCUAUCGAGGGAUGGUCCAAGAAUAUAUUUUUCAUAUAAUCCCCGUAAUCUUAACGAGCAUACCGACACGAGGACGAAUACUGAAGUAGAAAAAAAGCAAAGAAGACAAAUCCAAUGCAAAACAAUGCUUGCAGUUGGAUCUACAAUCUUUCAAACUAAUUCUAAGGAAAGAAAAAUUAAUGUAUUUUAAGAGAACACACACAUACC
Long non-coding RNA from Odontomachus brunneus, 8537 nucleotides. RefSeq lists it as uncharacterized. The transcript is spliced from 5 exons. Lineage: Eukaryota; Metazoa; Arthropoda; Insecta; Hymenoptera; Formicidae. The record is from RefSeq and is a predicted model, not a curated record.